GGGGAUGUAAAGGUUUCGACGGGGCCGCCAUCCCCAGGACAAGCGAGCCGUAGUUGCCGAGUCUACGCUAAAAGCGGCACGUUAAAGAUAAACGGAAAAACUAAGACUAAUUUCGCACUAGCCGCUUGAUUGCGGCCCGCGACGUCGGCCUGAGUCCACCUACAGGCACAGAACCCGACGCAAGAAUGUAGGAAAACUCUG
RNAcentral lists this transfer-messenger RNA (201 nucleotides) under Eubacteriales Family XIII. Incertae Sedis bacterium. Its description in RNAcentral is "partial transfer-messenger RNA". It matches the Rfam family "transfer-messenger RNA", at positions 1 to 208 of the family's 374-position model. Rfam says of the family: Bacterial tmRNA, also known as 10Sa RNA or SsrA, is named for its dual tRNA and mRNA-like properties. Its role is to liberate the mRNA from a stalled ribosome. The record is from RNAcentral. Lineage: Bacteria; Bacillati; Bacillota; Clostridia; Peptostreptococcales; Anaerovoracaceae.